UUCAGGAAAUACAUUUUGAAGCAACCCUGGUCAAAGAGGAAGAGGUCAGAUACAUUGCAAGGAGCAAAGUGUGGGUGUUUUCAGCAGGAUGCCCUUUGAUCCUCAGCUGCAGCCUGGCUGGUAGUGCCACCAGUCAUACAGCCAUACUGUAAAAGAGCUGUGAGCAAACUGGUCUAGAGGAAGGUGUCCCUGCACAUUGCACAGGGGUUGGAACUAGAUGAUCUUCAGGUCUUUUCCAACCCAAACUAUGGUGUGAUUCUAUAUAAUUUUUCACCUCAGAAGAAGCAAACACAUGUAGCCAGUGUAGUACACUGCCCUGCACUUCCAGUUUGGACAGAAGAGUUGCAACAGCAGAUGCUUGAGCAGAUAUAAAAGCAUUGCUAAAGAAAUGGACCGAGGAUCCAAUUCCAGUUUCGGGGCUGCUGUUCUCUCUUGCUGGCAUGAUUCAUGAAAGCUGCUCCAAGCACUGUCUCUGAAGCUCCUGCUGAAGUGACCAGGGUAUGACAUGGCCCUUCUGGGAGGCUUCAGUGGAAACAUCCACCUGGUAGCCUAACACCAGCAGAUGAUUCCCAGUGCUGGCAGUGGGUUACCCUUUCCUAACAAAUAAGUCUUUUAAAA
This is a long non-coding RNA of Neopsephotus bourkii (Bourke's parrot), 618 nucleotides long. RefSeq lists it as uncharacterized. The record is from RefSeq and is a predicted model, not a curated record. Lineage: Eukaryota; Metazoa; Chordata; Aves; Psittaciformes; Psittacidae. The transcript is spliced from 3 exons.